ACUGCCAACUGCUCGCAUGGGAUCCUGAAGUUCUAAGUGAGAGCAAGAAAGCUUGCCACUAUGUAAAGGAAAAUGAACAAUGGGAACUCCUGGAUGACCCCAUGCAGAGCUCCAUGUGUGACUGCUGUUCUAGGACCUGCAACACUCGCUCCAAGAGAGGAGACGAAUGGGAAUCCAACGGCUUCAUGCACACUU
Long non-coding RNA from Gymnodraco acuticeps, 195 nucleotides. RefSeq lists it as uncharacterized. The transcript is spliced from 3 exons. Lineage: Eukaryota; Metazoa; Chordata; Actinopteri; Perciformes; Bathydraconidae. The record is from RefSeq and is a predicted model, not a curated record.